RNAcentral lists this ribosomal RNA (464 nucleotides) under uncultured bacterium. RNAcentral's name for it is "partial 16S ribosomal RNA". It matches the Rfam family "Bacterial small subunit ribosomal RNA", at positions 28 to 507 of the family's 1533-position model. The record is from RNAcentral.
GACGAACGCUGGCGGCGUGCUUAACACAUGCAAGUCGAACGGAAAGGCCCCUUUGGGGGUACUCGAGUGGCGAACGGGUGAGUAACACGUGAGUAACCUGCCCUUGACUUCGGGAUAACUUCAGGAAACUGGGGCUAAUACCGGAUAGGAAUCCUUGCUGCAUGGUGGGGGUUGGAAAGCUUCGGCGGUUUUGGAUGGACUCGCGGCUUAUCAGCUUGUUGGUGGGGUAGUGGCUUACCAAGGCUUUGACGGUAGCCGGCCCGAGAGGGCGACCGGCCACAUUGGGACUGAGAUACGGCCCAGACUCCUACGGGAGGCAGCAGUGGGGAAUAUUGCACAAUGGGCGGAAGCCUGAUGCAGCAACGCCGCGUGCGGGAUGACGGCCUUCGGGUUGUAAACCGCUUUCAGCAGGGGCGAAGCUUGUGGUGACGGUACCUGCAGAAGAAGCACCGGCUAACUACGUG